This 18-nucleotide transfer RNA is filed under the name Cyprichromis zonatus. Its description in RNAcentral is "partial tRNA-Pro". The record is from RNAcentral. Lineage: Eukaryota; Metazoa; Chordata; Actinopteri; Cichliformes; Cichlidae.
AUUUUAGACUAUUCUUUG